This is a long non-coding RNA of Arabidopsis lyrata subsp. lyrata, 6530 nucleotides long. RefSeq lists it as uncharacterized. The transcript has 9 exons. The record is from RefSeq and is a predicted model, not a curated record. Lineage: Eukaryota; Viridiplantae; Streptophyta; Magnoliopsida; Brassicales; Brassicaceae.
UAUAUCACUCGUAGUCGUCUUACUUUUGUUUGUGACUGAUUCUCAUAAUUUCAAUUUUCUUUUUUUGGAGCGUUUCUCCGAAGAUCAUCAUCAUCAUCGCCAGGUAUUCUUUGUUUUUUUCUUUUUCUUCUUUCAAAUUCUUUAGGGUUUUGUCGAUUAUCCAAUUAUGAAUAUCUGCGUUUUUAUAUCCAAAACCCUCUUUUGAUUUCUUCGAUUUGGGGAGGUUUUGUUUGUGUUUUCUUAGAUUUCGAACCUCCCUUUUCUAGAUUCACGACUUUGAUUUUGAAAUUUUGUCAAGAAAUUCCAAAAGCUCUCUCUUUUCUUUUACGAUUUUACGCUUCUUGUUUAUGGAAAUUAAAAAAAAAAACCCUCGUUUAGAUCUGAUUUUUGAGGGGUUUUACUUUCGUGAUUUUCCUAAAAUUUGUAAUUCAGAUUCAGAAUUUCAAUUGAUUUCUUUUUAUCGCUAAUCUAAAAAAAAAACCUCUUUUGUCUUAGGGUUUCUUAUUUCACGUUUCUGAAAGAUUCUAGUUCUUGUUUGGGUUUCUAACAUGGGUCAUGUUUUUCGUUUAUCUGGAUUAGAAACCCUAUUAUCGAUUCUCUGAUUUCAUUUUAAACGAACGAAUUUCAAAAAAGUUUUAUGUUUUCUUCAAACCCAAAAGAAAGGGACCACACAUUAUAUGAUUGUGUCUGUCCGGUUUCUAACUUGGGAAAAUUGUCCCCAUGUUGCCUAAGUAAGACAGCCAAGCUGUGAUUAAACACUGUAAGUCUUGUCAAAUUAUAUUCAAAUGUUGGAUAGUUGAAUCGUAAGACUGGCAAGCUGUGAUUAAACACUGUAAGUCUUGCCAAGUUAUGUUCAAAUAUCGGAUAAUUGAAUCGUAAGACAGACAAGCUGUGAUUAAACACCGUAAGUCUUGUCAAAUUAUGUUCAAAUAUAGGAUAAUUGAAUCGUAAGGAUGGCAAGCUGUGAUUAAACACUGUAAGUCUUGUCUAAUUAUGCUCAAAGAUUGGAUAAUUGAAUCGUAAGACUGGCAAGCUGUGAUUAAACACUGUAAGUCUUGUCAAGUUAUUGUUCAAAGAUCAAAGAUUCAGUGAUCUGCAUAAAAUCUCAAUGAUCUGCUUAUUGAUGGGGAUAACUUGUCUUUCAUAAGACUCAAAGAUUGGAUAAUGUAGUUAAUCCUCUGUGCCUACUUCUUGAAGCUCUUCCUGUUAGCGAAGGUACAUCAUUGUGCAACGCUUGAUAGGUCGAACACGAAAGAGAAAGAUAGAGAUGAGGCACUAAAGGCACAUCAUUAUACAUCUCACUGAGAUAUGAUAUUCAAUAAUGCUGGCUGGGCAGCACGAAAAAGUAAGCAAGCUGUGAGACUUGUGAAACAGUUCUAUAUAUUGCUGGCUGGGCAGCACGAAAUAUUUAAUGCAAGCAUCAUUUUGAUUGAAAUCUGUAAGUCUUGUGUAAUUAUAUUAGACAAGCAUCUUUUUGAUUGAAAUCUGUAAGUCUUGUGUUAUUAUGUAAGCCAAGCAGAUUUUGAUUGAAAUCUGUAAGACUUGUCUAAUUUAAGGCAAGCAUCAUUUUGAUUGAAAUCCGUAAGUCUUGUAUGUAAGCCAAACAGAUUUUGAUUGAAAUAUGCAAGUCUUGUCUAAUUAAGACAAGCAAGAUAUGAUUGAAAUCCGUAAGUCUUGUCUAAUCGUCUAUAUAUUGCUGGCUGGGCAGCAUAAAUAUAAAAUUCAAGUUUCUGCAUAGAACUGCCUUCAUUAAGGCUUUUCUAAUUCAAUGAUCUGCAAAUUGUUGGAGAAUAAAUGUUCUUUAAUAGAACUCGAUGAUCUGCUUAUUAAUGGAGAAUAAAUGUUCUUUAAUAGAACUCAAUGAUCUGCAAAUUAGCGGGGAGAAACUCAAUGAUCUGCUUUAAGACUCAAUGAUCUGCAAAUUGAUGGGGAUAAAUUGUCUUUUAUAAGACUUGUCUAUUGAUGUCCGAAUGAGGAAUUCUCUUGUAUGGAUUGGCAAGCUGUGAUCAACACUGUAAGACUUGUCAAACAGUUCUAUAUAUUGCUGGCUGGGCAGCGUGAUAAAAACUCAAUGAUCUGCAAACAUUCAAUGAUCUGCAGACAUUCAAUAUUCUGCAUGUCUAAUGAUGACUGAUCGGAAAAUGCAUAAAAACAUGGAGUUAAUCCUCUCUGCCUAGCUCUUGAAGCUCUUCCUGUUAGCGAAGGCACAUCAUUGUGCAACGCUUGAUGGGUCGAGGCUCGAGCAAGGCGCUAAAGAGGUAAAUGAUCUGCUUAUUAAAACUCAAUGAUCUGCUUAUAAGAUGGAGAAACAUUCAAUAAUCUGCAAAUUGAUGGACGAAAAAGCAAGAAGCAAGCAUGCUGUGAUUAACACUAUAAGACUGUCAAACAGUUCUAUAUAUUGUUGGUUGGGCAGCGUGAUAAAAACUCAAUGAUCUGCAAACAUUCAAUGAUCUGCAGGCAUUCAAUAUUCUGCAUGUCUAAUGAUGACUGAUCGGAAAAUGCAUAAAAACAUGUAGUUAAUCCUCUCUGUCUAGCUCUUCCUGUUAGCGAAGGCACUUCAUUGUGCAACGCUUGAUGGGUCGAGGCUCAAGAAAGGCGCUAAAGAGGUAAAUGAUCUGCUUAUAAGAUGGAGAAACAUUCAAUAAUCUGCAAAUUGAUGGACGAAAAAGCAAGAAGCAAGCAAGCUGUGAUUAACACUAUAAGACUUGCCAUACAAUUCUAUAUAUUGCUGGCUGGGCAGCGUGAUAAAAACUUCAAGUUUCUGCAUAGAUUUGCCUUCAUUAAGGCUUUUCUAAUGAUGAUGUCCUGAAAAGGAUAAAUUCAAUUACCUGCUUGAAAACUCAAUGAUCUGCUUUGAAACUCAAUGAUCUGCAUGUUAAUGGGGAUACAUUGUCUUUUUAUAAGACUUGCAUAAAACAUGUAGUUAAUCCUUUGUGCCUAGCUCUUGAAGCUCUUCUUGUUAGCGAAGGCACAUCAUUGUGCAACGCUUGAUGGGUCGAUGCUCGAGCAAGGCGCUAAAUAGAAAGAGAGAGAUGAGAGAAAGAAAGUAUUUUUAUCCUAUAUAAAAAUACUCAGAUCUCUGCAUACUACAAGAAUCUGACGUCUUAGUGCUCGGCAGGGAACGCCCUGUUAGGUAAGAAUGAGGUAUGUAUUUCAUCUCCAACUAGUUUGUACUUGUAUCAGUUGUUUCUUAUUACCAUAUGUUACAUCAAACUAGCUUAAUGUUUGAUUUUGGCGUUGAACUUGUGGUAAGUUUGUUUGUUAUGUACAUCUCUUAGUCUUUAAAAACGAAAUCAAUUUUUACUUGUCUCAUUGUCUUCUAACCACAUCUUUUAGGGACUCAUUCUUAAUAGGGAUACUGCAGAAAAUCUUGUUUGCGGAUUAGAUCUUUUUUUGCUUGGAUCAGGUGAAUAUCCCUUCCCUCUUUUAAACCUAUUUAUGAUCUUUCCAAGCAUUUUCCUUGACGAUGUCAUUGAGAAGUUGAAGGCUUUAAACCCUAAGAUACUGAAGACGAAUUUUUUAAUCAGCAAAGGUUGAUAGAAAGAAUCCGCAUGGGGAUGACAGAUACGGAGGCCUUAGAGUUUGCUCAGAAGGAGCAUAAACAUAAUCAGGCGUUUCUGGAAGAAUUGGCAAACACUAUGGCUAAUCUCUGUUCUAAAGAUCUCCCUAACAGCCCGAUGGCGGUGAGAGCUUCUUGCCAACUCACGGUGGUUUAAGACAACUGCCAAAGUAAAUGCAGCGAUUCUUACUAGCCAGACUGGUCUAAAAUGUAAAUGCUCAACUUUCUUACUAGUUAUGGCUUAAGAAAAUGCACUACAGGGUUAAGGCAUUUUGGUGACUUCUAGUGCACUACAGGAUAACCUGAACGAGUAGCAAUUUCUGUCUCAUUAUAAGAAAGCUCUCGUUUCUCAGAAAACAUGAGGAAGCUAUCAUGAAUUUGGGGAAGAUGCUGGAUGUAUAGGAAAUUCAACUUCUUUGCAAGCAUGAAAAUUAUGGCAUUUUGGUGACUUGUAGUACACAACAGAAUUGGCUAAACUAGUAGGUAUGUUUUUUCUUGACUUUAGUCAUAAAGGGUUUGUAUCAAAUUUGCAGGAAUCAGUGUAAUCAUCUCCCUAAGUCCACAUGACGCUAAAAGACUAGCUUAUCGACUUUUUUGAAAUUAAUCAAAGGUAUUGCCUAUAAACAAUUUUUCUUGAGAUUUUUUUUCUAACCUUUGUUAGAAUUUGGAGCCUUUAAUAUGUUGAAGUAAAGCAUAACUAUGCAAGAACUCGUGAUGAAAAUUCUGCUAUGUUCUCAAGUCAGGGCAUUUUUGGUGGCAGUGUGGUAGGUAGUGUCUGAUUCUUAAUCUAGAAAAUUCAGCCAAUUUUGAUGAGGAAUCAAUGUUAUCCUCUCCCCAAGUCCAUGUGAGGCUAAGGGAUUACUGACUUUGUCAUCCAUUUCUUGUAUAAAAGCUUAUCGACCUCUUUCAAAUCAAAGGUAGGAGGUGGAGCCAAACCAAAUUUUCAGAGAUUUUCAUCUUCAGAAAAGCGAAGGUUUGGUCUUUCUAACAUUUGACUUGGUUUUUUUAGGUUGAUUGUUUGCUUUAGGAUGAUAGAAAAACACAUCUUUAAUGCUAACACUAAAACAAACAAAAACACAUACACAAGAAGGCGAACACAUACACUAAGCGCAAACAUAAACAUAAACGCAUAUAGACAAAAGUGAACAUAAACACUAACUGCAAUCGUAAACAUAAACUAACAAAAACGAGAAAUACAAAUGCCUAAGACAAACGCAAACGUAAAAUUCAAACCUAAAAGUUCAAAUGCAAAUACUAAUGUGAACAUGACUCAAUAUUUCAUUUCCUAUUUGCUUCGAUUCAGUUCGGCUAAAAAUCGUACAAACGGUUCCUACUAUAACUAGUUAUUUCGGUUUUCUACUAGCAGCUUUAACUAUAACCUCAGUUCUAUUUAUUGGUCUAAGCAAAAUACGACUUAUUGAGUUUUAGGUUUCUAAAUUGAUUUUCGUAAUAUUUUGCUUAGUUAAGUUUGGUUAGCUAUUAAAUUAGGGAAUAUUGAGUUAAGUUUAUUUUUAUUAAAUCGUUUGUUAUAAAUCCACUAUUAUUAAACGCUUUCUGACACGCGUCCCGAGGCAAGUUCCCAAGUUCAGAUUUAGAUCCCGUUUCUCCUUCUUCAAUCCGGCGACCCCGACGGCCUCUUCGCCUUGUGUGGGUGAAGGUUAGCUCUUCCUGUCGGCGGGAUGCCGUCUGUUAAGGAUCCAAGCUGUCUUCCCUCUAAAGCAUCCUCUCCCAAGCGGAUGCAGCUUACUGUGUAGACCACUCAGCUUUGCAAAAUCUUAGAUUUGGCUCCCAGAAUCUCCGAACCUUCUCACUAGAUCCCGUAAACUAGUGAAGAACCAUUUCACCCCAGUGGUGACGAUCGUUGGUCAUCUUUUCAAUAGAUUUGUCGAGUACCGACUUAUCUCCUCAAACUCAAUUCUUCUCCAUGUCUUGCAAGUUCUCGUACGCGGAAAAAAAGGAGUUGCGGUUGCAAAUCUUCCCCCAAAGAUCCUAAGAGUCAAAGUCCCAGCCUUUGGUAGCACCGAGCUUAGAAGGAAGCAUUCGCUUACCAUCAUUGGUCGACUUACCAACCCUGCAACUCAGCGUACUUGGUUAAUGAUCCCUUGCUUGGCUGAUUUAUGGAAGUCUUUGUCUCGAUCCAUUGGAGCAGAUCUGGGGCAAUGACGCCUCCUAUUACAAUUAGCGAACGAGUAAGACCUCCUCAAAGUUCUAGAAAACCAACCUUUCCACUUUGCAAGAUAGAUGGUCAUCAACCAAAGGUGGGAACCAACAACGUCAAGCUCCUUCCUAUCAUUCUAGAUCGAUGCGCAAGGCAUCCAUGUUCAUCUUUGAUCGGAAGAAAUCCUCUAUAGCGUGGUGAAGGGAGUGAGAUACUUUGUAAGGGUAUAGAGAUCAUGACAACCUAUGCGAGAAUCAGAGUUAUGGUGAAUGGAUUUAAACCUAUGGUGAAGCAAACUUGCAUGGAUUUUGAAGAUGCAAACGAAGCAUUAGUGGAUUUGGUAUAUGAUAAACUGGAGAAGCACUGCCAAAGUUACAACAUGUUAAAUCAUGAGGGCAAAGACUGCCUAAGCCAGCUCUCGCAUGCAGGACAAAAAAACUGCAUUAUCCCCUCCUAUUCCACCAAGAAGGGAUCCUCGGGAGGAAUACCCACCUAGAAGGAGGUGGGAGAACAUUAUUACCCAAUCUAGGGAUUACCCCCACAUGGUGGAAAUGAUCACAAAAAAAGAUGCAGCCCAGGCGCUCUAAAAGUUAUGAUCAUCGAGGCUGGUCAGCGCAAGGUUUUAGAACUCGGGUUGGGUUCGGGUUUUUCAGAUCUAGAAGUUUAGGAUCCAUUCGGAUAUUUUGAGAUUUCGGGUCUGGUUCGGUUCGGUGUUCGGGUUUAUUCAAAUAUUCAAAAAUCAAAAUUUUGUAUGCAAAUCUAUCAAAUUACUUGAAAAUUUCAAAAACUCCCAAAACAACACCAGUAUUUUUA